This is a non-coding RNA of Oidiodendron maius Zn, 90 nucleotides long. The record is from the annotation of a GenBank genome assembly. Lineage: Eukaryota; Fungi; Ascomycota; Leotiomycetes; Myxotrichaceae.
GGUUGUAUAGUGUAGCGGUUAGCACGUGGGAUUUUGAUGACAUCAAAAUUUAGAUUUCCCGAAUCCCCGGUUCGAGCCCGGGUACGACCU